UGGGGAAUAUUGCACAAUGGGGAAACCCUGAUGCAGCGACGCCGCGUGAGCGAAGAAGGCUUUCGAGUCGUAAAGCUCUGUCCUAUGAGAAGAUAAUGACGGUAUCAUAGGAGGAAGCCCUGGCUAAAUACGUGCCAGCAGCCGCGGUAAUACGUAUGGGGCGAGCGUUGUCCGGAAUUAUUGGGCGUAAAGGGUACGUAGGCGGUUUUUUAAGUCAGGUGUCAAAGCGUGGAGCUUAACUCCAUUAAGCACUUGAAACUGAAAGACUUGAGUGAAGGAGAGGAAAGUGGAAUUCAUAGUGUAGCGGUGAAAUGCGUAGAUAUUAGGAGGAAUACCGGUGGCGAAGGCGACUUUCUGGACUUUUACUGACGCUCAGGUACGAAAGCGUGGGGAGUAAACAGG
RNAcentral lists this ribosomal RNA (402 nucleotides) under Verrucomicrobiota bacterium. Its description in RNAcentral is "Verrucomicrobia bacterium partial 16S ribosomal RNA". It matches the Rfam family "Bacterial small subunit ribosomal RNA", at positions 355 to 776 of the family's 1533-position model. Lineage: Bacteria; Pseudomonadati; Verrucomicrobiota. The record is from RNAcentral.